GAUGAACGCUGGCGGCGUGCCUAAUACAUGCAAGUCGAGCGAACGGACGAGAAGCUUGCUUCUCUGAUGUUAGCGGCGGACGGGUGAGUAACACGUGGAUAACCUACCUAUAAGACUGGGAUAACUUCGGGAAACCGGAGCUAAUACCGGAUAAUAUUUUGAACCGCAUGGUUCAAAAGUGAAAGACGUUCUUGCUGUCACUUAUAGAUGGAUCCGCGCUGCAUUAGCUAGUUGGUAGGGUAACGGCUUACCAAGGCGACGAUGCAUAGCUGACCUGAGAGGAUGAUCAGUCACACGGGAACUGAGACACGGUCCAGGCUCCUACGGGAGGCAGCAGUGGGGAAUAUUGGACAAUGGGCGAAAGCCUGAUCCAGCCAUGCCGCGUGUGUGAAGAAGGUCUUCGGAUUGUAAAGCACUUUAAGUUGGGAGGAAGGGCAGUAAGUUAAUACCUUGCUGUGGUGACGUUACCAACAGAAUAAGCACCGGCUAACUUCGUG
RNAcentral lists this ribosomal RNA (497 nucleotides) under uncultured bacterium. RNAcentral's name for it is "partial 16S ribosomal RNA". It matches the Rfam family "Bacterial small subunit ribosomal RNA", at positions 28 to 507 of the family's 1533-position model. The record is from RNAcentral.